Lineus longissimus is the source of this 2954-nucleotide long non-coding RNA. RefSeq lists it as uncharacterized. The record is from RefSeq and is a predicted model, not a curated record. The transcript has 3 exons. Lineage: Eukaryota; Metazoa; Nemertea; Pilidiophora; Heteronemertea; Lineidae.
AACUGGUAACUGCUGGUGACUACUGGAUCUGCGUGCUGCAUUGCUGAGGGAAUUGCAGGCAUAACUCCAUGUCGAUACGUUAUUGGCUAUAGUUAUCUAUUCAAUACGUGAUAGGGAAUUCUCUAGUUCGGAUAAUCCUAAAUCGCAACAGGACCAUAUCAAUUUGAAAGAUGAGUGUCCCCGGUGUUAUUGCGGGCGCAGGCCAAGGAGGCGGCGGCUACCCAGGGUCGGGGGGAUACAGACCUCCAUCACAUAGGAAACCAAGCAGUUCUAGCAUAGAAAAGCACAAAAUUGAAUCUAUCGAAAAAGAGAGAAGGAAAGAAAAAAAGAAACAACAACAAAGUGCCGGAAGUAGUAGCGGAAGUGGCGGUGGAGGCGGAAGUCCCAGCAGCAAAAGCAAGAAAUCUUGUCUGAUCAGCAUCGUGGCAGCCUCGUUCUGGAUUGGCGUAGUAGUGUUGCAGACGAUAUGUGAGCAGGGCCCGCCGUGGAUAUAGACGCUUCCAUUCCUAACCUUUUGGGUGCUACAUCUCGUACACCAUUCAUAGGGGAUUGUACAGAAACACACCACUUCACGACAUUCGUUGGAUUCGUUCAAGCAGCCAUUUUCGUCUUGGAAGGCAAGUUUAAAUAUUGAAGGUGAAGGCCAUUCAUAUACUGGUACCAUUUUACGGUAACGUGGGUAAAAGGGAAAAUCAGAUUGGGCAUGAGAGCUGAGAAGGCUGGAAUGUGUGUGGUUAUUUUAAAUUUGUACCAGUUAUACGGACUGUCAGAAAUAAAUAGUCAAUAGACUCCCGGUAAUCCAUCGAGGCUGGUCGAAAUUGAGAAGCGAAAGGUUUCUAUAAAGAUUAAAGGCACUCCUUUGCCCGUCAAUUUCGAACAGCCACCAAGGAUUCCGGUAAAUAUGAAGGUGAAGGUCAUCAAUAUAAUCUGGUAUCAUUUUGUGGUAAUUUGGGUGGAAGGAAACACCGGACUUGACAUAACGAGAGCUGAGGAGACUGGAAUGUCGAUUUUUCAAGAUGGAUAAGUAUAAUUUGGAUGUGUUAACCCCAGAGUGGAGCUGGUCAUUCCCGACAAGACCGUGUCUUUAUACUGAAUGGGAUGCAAGCUUUUUAUUGUCGUGACGUCAUCACCUGUCGUGACGUCAUCAAUGGAUUGCAAUGGAGAUUUUAUAAAUGGAAUUUGUGUAGAAUGCCUGUGUUACUAUGUUUUACGUUUUUUACCAUAUUUUGCGUUUUGGAUAUAACAUGUACGCACAUCUCUGGAUAACAAACUUUAUUUUGUCAACUUUCUAUCGUAUUGUAUAUAUCAUAUACCCUCUAUUUAUGUUUCCUUUAGAAAACGAGUUGUUCAUUCAUAAACAUGUUGUUGAAAUUAAUUUAAAGCACACUGCCUUGAAUAUAUAUAAUAUUGUGAAUCUCAAUGCCGAAAUUAGGGUAAAUAGCAUUUAUCAGAGGAAACUAGUGUAAAAUGAAUUCAUCAGUGGAAAUAAUUUAAGGGUAAAAAAAUAAUACACCAGUGAAAGUGUUAACCUUGUUAUUUGCAUAUUAGGGUAUGUAGUGGCCAGUUAUCUAUUAGCCAGAAUUGGCCAGUUAGGUGAAGGGAAUAUCGGCAGUAUAAAUAUAUGAAUAAGGGUUCGUACUCGUUGCAGACGAUCAGAAACGGAAACACUCAAAAACGUUACACCGGACAUGAAGCUUUUUUCUGGUGAGGCUUGAUCCAUUCGAUCCCGUUAGCCAUACUUCUCUUUUAGAAACCGGGACCGUAAGUUGCCCUUCAUGAAAUUCAUUCCAUUACCAGAUUGUAAAAUCUCAAUAGAGCAAACGUCGUGAUAUUGCAAAAAGUGUUGCCAUCUAGGAGAGGCAAGCCAACUGAACUGGUGGACAACUUAACAGUGUAUUAGGUCCUGCCAUGCACGAUAGGGCGUUCUCAUCGGAGAUGUGUUCGUAGUUUCUCGACUCCAUUCAUAAAAUCAGCAUUAACCGAAUAGGAUCAUAUUACGAAGAAUAGAUAAAGAAGAGUCAUUAACAAUUAUUGAUAUCAUAGAGGUGCACGUAGAGGCAGGUAUUCGGGACUAAAGUAACUGUGUCGUCUUUGGUCUGGAAUGCAACCAUUCUGUCAGAUUUCUCAACAAGUUUGUUUUUAUUUUCUAAAUUCUGUAACGGUGGAUAAUUGCACGAGUCACGAAUCAUCAUACUUUUCAAAUCGGAGGGAAAAUGUAAAGAUCUAGAUAUUUAUUUCGUUAGUGGUUGUUAGACAGAAUGUUGGUAACGUUGGUGAGGGAUACUUGCCGAUCGUAAGUGUGACUGAUACUGUAAAUGUAGCCAUAGUCUUUGCCAACAACAGUGUGUCCAGUGCGCAAAAGGAGGUAAAAUUGACAGACCCGAUGCGAUUUACCUAAUGUUCGCUGCACUGGUCGGAAUACGUUUUUUUAGUCGCAGUCGCUCGUUGGCAAGCUUUCCCUUAUAUUAGAUGUUGUUGAUUAGUUAAUUAGAAAAUGAGUUGAAUUUAGAAUGCAUAGCCCAUCAAGUCCUGUGAUUUUCAUAAAAAACUUCGUCAUAACCAAAUUGUAAUAAUCUGCUGUAUCUUUUUCAAGGCAAAGGGCAAAGAAAUAAGAAAAGCACAAAAAUAUGAAUCUAUGGGGCGUGUGUCCUUAGUUUGGUAAAACUAUGUUUGUUCAGAUUCAUGUUCAUCAUUUAUCAUAUAAAGAUGAUAACGCUAGCUUUUUUCAAACCAUCGCCGUGUUUUAAGCAGUGGCUUUUAAUAAAACCAAGUAUUGAUUAUACUUGAUAUAACGAAUAUCUUAGUCCGAGAUAUUGCAUGAUGUAGUUUGUCCGACUUACAACAAAACCUCUGCUAUAUGUACUUUAUUAUGCUUUCGGCAUAUUAUUUUGAAUCGUAUCUUCAUUACUCAAUAGCUCUUCAAAAUUUGUAUUUUAUUACACCUCAUUCGUUUC